Molecule: ribosomal RNA, 250 nt
Filed under: uncultured bacterium
Lineage: Bacteria
Description: partial 16S ribosomal RNA
Rfam family: Bacterial small subunit ribosomal RNA
Source: RNAcentral
CCGCGGUAAUACGUAGGGUGCGAGCGUUAAUCGGAAUUACUGGGCGUAAAGCGUGCGCAGGCGGCUACAUAAGACAGGUGUGAAAUCCCCGGGCUCAACCUGGGAAUGGCGCUUGUGACUGUGUGGCUUGAGUUCGGCAGAGGGGGUGGAAUUCCACGUGUAGCAGUGAAAUGCGUAGAGAUGUGGAGGAACACCGAUGGCGAAGGCAGCCCCCUGGGCCGCGACUGACGCUCAUGCACGAAAGCGUGGG